This 301-nucleotide ribosomal RNA is filed under the name uncultured bacterium. RNAcentral describes it as "partial 16S ribosomal RNA". It matches the Rfam family "Bacterial small subunit ribosomal RNA", at positions 509 to 809 of the family's 1533-position model. The record is from RNAcentral.
CAGCCGCCACGGUAAUACGAAGGGUGCAAGCGUUAAUCGGAAUUACUGGGCGUAAAGCGUGCGUAGGCGGUUUGUUAAGUCUGUUGUGAAAUCCCCGGGCUCAACCUGGGAAUGGCAAUGGAUACUGGCAAGCUAGAGUGUGUCAGAGGAUGGUGGAAUUCCCGGUGUAGCGGUGAAAUGCGUAGAGAUCGGGAGGAACAUCAGUGGCGAAGGCGGCCAUCUGGGACAACACUGACGCUGAGGCACGAAAGCGUGGGGAGCAAACAGGAUUAGAGACCCCCGUAGUCCCUGUCUCUUAUAA